This is a long non-coding RNA of Sinocyclocheilus grahami, 1141 nucleotides long. RefSeq lists it as uncharacterized. The transcript is spliced from 3 exons. NCBI's taxonomy places the organism in Eukaryota, Metazoa, Chordata, Actinopteri, Cypriniformes, Cyprinidae. The record is from RefSeq and is a predicted model, not a curated record.
AAACAAAUAGGGAUGAGACCGAAUGCCACUUGAGGCCUGUUGAAUGAUGAAAUUGGGUCUCGCUCUGUUGCUCCGUGGCUUUGUAUUGCUCAGGGGCGUCCAUGGGUUCAGCAUGAUAAUACGGCAGGCAGGCGGCGAAGGGCAGCCGGGGACCCGUGCGUCUGUGAGAAUGGAGGAGGCUUCGGUCUCAGCACUUCCUCUCUGAAGGUGACCAUAUGCAUUUCAAGAAAACAGAAGACCGACAUUCUGUAAAUAUCUCCUUUUGUGUUCAAUGGAAGAAUCACAGAAAAGAUGGUGAGUUGUAUUUUCAUUGUGAAUGCCCUGUUCCUUUAACAUUCGCUAAGUGACGGUUUACUUCCAUCAUUGACUCAUUGACACCUGCCAAGCUGUGAGAUGUGUUACAACACUGGCUUUAUCAGACAGGCCUUGCUGAGGAAGGAUUCAGACUGAGAACAGGACAGACUGAACUCUGGCAGUGUGAAUUAGCAGUGGCUUUUAUGGAUGAAUUCCCAGAGGGCCAUUAAGCAUCAGCCUUUUCUGCGUUAGCUGUGCAAAUGCGCGGGUUACCUACACACAAAUGGAUCUGUGCUUCUGUAAACUUUAUUAGAGAACGUAUGGAAAUGACAAACAAAGCAGGCUGCAAUUAAUGGAUAUCAUCUUUUAUUUUUCUCAAACAAAACCUUGCGAGAAGCUUGAUAUUUAUUUGAACAGGCAACCCCGGCUAUAAACCUCUGCCAAAAUAAGAACGCCCAUAUUUCUAUUAAAAAUACCGGAGAGUGAAUUUCAUGGGGCUUAUGUGUUCAGUCAUGUACAAAGGGACCUGUAUUAAGGAAGUCUCCUGAGGCGUUUUGUGGGUAAUGUGCUCAUUUGAGAUUGUUCCAGACCUCACGGACAAACCAAAAUGCCAGCCUUUCACAAUACAGUGGCUUUACGGUGCAAAAACAUAAAUGUUUACUUUGUGUAAUGACUGAACAAAGCCAUAAAGAGUGUGUAAAUGAGCAUUAUGGUUUUGUGAGGUUGCAGCGGCACGGAUGCGUUUACCUGCUCUGAUGGAGUCAGUGUGUCUGGAAACACAAGUAAUGCCUAAUGAGAAAUCAUCAUGGAAAUAAGUAUGCAAUAAAGCACUCGAGGCUGUGCAUUA